ACCCUGGUGAUCUAGUGGUUAGGAUUCAGCACUUCCACUACUGUGGCCCAGGUUCAAUCCCUGAUCUGGGAA
This is a transfer RNA of Sus scrofa (pig), 72 nucleotides long. It matches the Rfam family "tRNA". From Rfam's summary of the family: Transfer RNA (tRNA) molecules are approximately 80 nucleotides in length. NCBI's taxonomy places the organism in Eukaryota, Metazoa, Chordata, Mammalia, Artiodactyla, Suidae. The record is from Rfam.